CCCUUAGAUGUUCUGGGCCGCACGCGCGCUACACUGAUGCAUUCAACGAGUCUAAAACCUGCUCUGAUAGGGGUGGGUAAUCUUUUGAAUGUGCAUCGUGAUUGGGAUAGAUGAUUGCAAUUUUUCAUCUUCAACGAGGAAUGCCUAGUAAACGCAAGUCAUCAGCUUGCAUUGAUUACGUCCCUGCCCUUUGUACACACCGCCCGUCGCUCCUACCGAUUGAAUGAUCCGAUGAAGCCUCCGGAUUGGCGCGCACCUCGGUGCCGCCGAGAAGUUGGCUAAACCUUACCAUUUAGAGGAAGGUGAAGUCGUAACA
This 316-nucleotide ribosomal RNA is filed under the name uncultured eukaryote. Its description in RNAcentral is "partial 18S ribosomal RNA". It matches the Rfam family "Eukaryotic small subunit ribosomal RNA", at positions 1470 to 1796 of the family's 1831-position model. The record is from RNAcentral.